AAUGAACGCUGGCGGCAUGCCUUACACAUGCAAGUCGAACGGCAGCAUGACCUAGCUUGCUAGGUUGAUGGCGAGUGGCGAACGGGUGAGUAAUGCAUCGGAACGUGCCUUUUAGUGGGGGAUAACGUAGCGAAAGUUACGCUAAUACCGCAUAUUCUCUGAGGAGGAAAGCAGGGGACCUUCGGGCCUUGCGCUAGAAGAGCGGCCGAUGUCGGAUUAGCUAGUUGGUGAGGUAAAUGCUCACCAAGGCAACGAUCCGUAGCGGGUCUGAGAGGAUGAUCCGCCACACUGGGACUGAGACACGGCCCAGACUCCUACGGGAGGCAGCAGUGGGGAAUUUUGGACAAUGGGCGCAAGCCUGAUCCAGCCAUGCCGCGUGAGUGAAGAAGGCCUUCGGGUUGUAAAGCUCUUUCGGCUGGGAAGAAAUCGCACUCUCUAAUACAGGGUGUGGAUGACGGUACCAGCAUAAGAAGCACCGGCUAACUACGUG
RNAcentral lists this ribosomal RNA (490 nucleotides) under uncultured bacterium. Its description in RNAcentral is "partial 16S ribosomal RNA". It matches the Rfam family "Bacterial small subunit ribosomal RNA", at positions 29 to 507 of the family's 1533-position model. The record is from RNAcentral.